CAACAUUCCGAUCUCGAACAACUCGGAAGAACGAGAAGAAAAGGUAUAGUAAAAAGAAGAUGGCACUUUUAGGUAUUCAACCUCCCCGAAUCAAUCAGAGCAGGAACGGAAUUUGUUCUUCUUUUUUUACAGCCACAUAUAUCAUAUGCAUUGCGUAUCGACACAUGGGAUCGAUGCUUUUGUUGCCAUCAGGAAAGCCAAUAAAGCUAUAGCCAGCUAAUCACACCACAGUGACAGAACAGAAAAAUAGAAAUGGUGGUGGAGAGGAGCUUUUUUCUUUACUUUUCUAUGUCGAGUCAUGAUGUAAUAUUGGAUUGAUUAACACAACAUAUGGUGCGACCACAGUCACAGCGGACCGAGCAGAGACGAGUGCUUUGGCGUCGGCAUGUGGCUAGCGGGCUAGCGGCAGACGAUGCAGAGGACGACCGCGAUGAUGAGGAUCAGGAUGAGGAGCGGCAGGGAUAUGAUCAGCACGAACUCCAUCCGCCGCUUGCCUGCAGACACAAUCGAUCCAAAGUUUAAUCUUCCAUUCUUGUUUUUUCUUUGUACUUCGAGCAACAGAAAAUUGCUACUCUCAACUCUCAAGAGGGGUGGGAAAGCAAAGCAAUAUAAAAAAUGCUAUGCCAUUGCUUUCCCAGUCCCUCUCUCUGAACUGCUGUUCUACAGCCUGUGGAUCUGAUGCUCCAACAGUGGGUCAGACCCUCUAAUCGUGCAGAAAGAUUCAAACAGGAAUGAGUUACUCCCUCCCUCCGAUCCAAAAUAAGUAUCGUGGUUUUAGUUCAAAUUUGCAAAGAACUUGUAAUUCAUAUUUCCUGAGCCGCACCAAAUCUUGUAAGGAUUGCUUGUAACUUGUCAAGCAUCUGCCUCGAUCUUGGCUUGUUCGAGGCUUGGAUGCUCAGCAAAGGCAAAGCCAACCCCUUUAUUAUUACCAAAGGUGGGGGGGAUCUAAUUCCCUUGAAUGACCACAUCAAUUAGAGAAUUAUCAGUGAAACGAUUGAUUCGAUUCCUCGUUGGCGUGCCGUCCUUUCGCAUGGGUCAAACCUGGCUAAAUAAAGCUCUCUAGAACAGAAGAUUGUAGGUGAUAAGACUAUAGGUUCCUGAUCCAUUAUAAUUGGUGAAACUCCCUCGGAUUUGACUGAAUUAGAACAACUGCUAUAGUCCCCUUCCCCCCUCGACAGAUCAGUCAUAAGCAGCAGCAGCAGCUGGGUGGUCUAAUUCGAGCUAAAUAAUUAGUACUUGUACUUGCUAUUAGAAAGCUUGAGAGCAGUACUGACUGGAUCACUCUUGGAGCCAGUCAACAGAGGGGUCACCCGUGCGUGAGUCCUGGAGCUCACUGAGGAAUAAAUCCAAAAACUAAAAACAAGAUUUGACAGGGACAACAUGAGAAUUAAUUGUCUGGUACAGUACCUGCCCAAUCGAGCUGCUGAUCUUGUUGCUGCUCCUGGCCUCCUUGAUCUGUCGGAGACGAGGGGCUUGGGAGGGAGACGGAGGGGAGGAGCGGAGCGGAGCAGUGGAGCUUGGCGAUGGGGCAAGUGGUGUUGGUGCCCGUGCGUGGGCUGAAAUAAUCGCUAAUCAGGCAGAGAAGAGUGGAGUGGAGAAGAAAGGAAGAAAGUAGCAGCGGAAAAACGCGUGACGUGUGGCUCGCGAGUGUGGACCGAGGACUCCGGCGCCACGCCCGGG
Molecule: long non-coding RNA, 1680 nt
Filed under: Triticum aestivum (bread wheat)
Lineage: Eukaryota; Viridiplantae; Streptophyta; Magnoliopsida; Poales; Poaceae
Description: long non-coding RNA (TAES_LNC018122)
Source: RNAcentral